Molecule: ribosomal RNA, 253 nt
Filed under: uncultured prokaryote
Description: partial 16S ribosomal RNA
Rfam family: Bacterial small subunit ribosomal RNA
Source: RNAcentral
ACGAAGGGUGCAAGCGUUACUCGGAAUUACUGGGCGUAAAGCGUGCGUAGGUGGUUUGUUAAGUCUGAUGUGAAAGCCCUGGGCUCAACCUGGGGACUGCAUUGGAAACUGGCUUACUAGAGUGCGGUAGAGGGGUGUGGAAUUCCCGGUGUAGCAGUGAAAUGCGUAGAUAUCGGGAGGAACAUCUGUGGCGAAGGCGGCCCCCUGGGCCGUACCUGACGCUGAGGCGCGAAGGCUAGGGGAGCGAACGGGA